RNAcentral lists this long non-coding RNA (1328 nucleotides) under Mustela putorius furo (domestic ferret). RNAcentral describes it as "lncRNA (ENSMPUG00000028597.1)". The record is from RNAcentral. Lineage: Eukaryota; Metazoa; Chordata; Mammalia; Carnivora; Mustelidae.
UCCCUGAACUGACUAAAUGCUGUAUAAGUGAUCAUGUCGGCUCCUGAGUCUUAUUUCUUACUUAUCUCUAGACACUGCCUCAUGCAAGAGUCUUCUCACCACGGACCUUCUGACAGAAAUGUGGAAGCCCCUGGAGCCAAAGCGUAUGAGGUAGACCCAGAGAGGAGCCUUCACCCAAGCUCACUGUAGGCUCUACACCCAGUGUGGAGUCCAAUGUGAAGCUUGAACUCAUAAUCCUGAAAUCAAGACCUGAGCUGAGAUCAGAAGUCAGCCGCUUAACUGACUGAGCCACCCAGGUGCCCUCUGUUCUCCUGUUAGUAUGUUUCUUCAGCAUCUUUUAAUCUAUAACAAUUCACCCAAUCCCCUUUUUGUUUAUAUCACCAUUUCUUGAAGUGAUAGGCCAUUUAGCCCAUAAAAUUUGUCAUAUUCUGAAAACUCUUUACUUAUUCUUUAAAACUGAACUCAUAUGUUUGCUCUGGGAUGCUGUCACUGACUCUGAAAGACAGAUUUUUCAACCUCUGAGCUCCUGUAGUACUAAGUGCAUGGAAUCAUCAGGUGGUUGUACUGGUGUUUACAUAUCUUUUUUUCCCAAUAGACUAUAAAGCCCUAGCACAGAAGCAUUAUUUUAUUCAUCUUUGUAUUUCCACAGCUUAAAAUCAAACAUGACACACAAAUGGUGCUUCAUAACUUUUUUCUAAGUGAAUGAGGAAAUGAAUAAAGAAGAAAGAAGACAGGUCAUACUUGGAGAAAGAAGUUGGCAUGGAAAUAUGAACAGAAGAAAAGGAGAUAAAGGUAAAAUUCAGUUAAUCCUGUCCAUUCCUUGUUAGGACGUAUCAUUUGUUUUUACACCAGACUGCCUAAUUCUUACAUAAAAAUGAUUUAAAAAAUCUACCAUUUGUAUGACUUUAUAAUCCUGGGAGGUUUUUUUUUUUUUUUUUUUACUUUUUAUUUUGAAAUAAUCAUAUUCAUACAGGAAAUGCAAAAAUAGCACACUGAGUCCAGCGAGCUCUAAUCCAGUUCCUUCCCUGUGACAUCAUAUGGAACUGCUGUAAAUAUCAAAAUAAGAAACACUGUUAAUUAUUAUAGACCAUAUUCAGUUUUCUCCAAUUUUUAAUGAACUUAUCAUAUUGGUGUAUGUGUGUGUGUAUAAAUCUAUAUAAUUUGGUAGAACCCUAGUUUUGAUGAAAGAUUCACCUCCAAGUUUAAAAUUAUUUGAGUCAUAAAGUCACACAGAAAAAAUAGUAUUAGUUCUAGUUCAGAUUUUGCUGCAAUUGGUGCAGUUCAACUUCUGGUAUAUCUCCUCUGUUUCAAAUAUUUAACAAUAAAAU